ACAUCUUCUUGCCUAACUCGCC
Molecule: microRNA, 22 nt
Filed under: Caenorhabditis remanei
Lineage: Eukaryota; Metazoa; Nematoda; Chromadorea; Rhabditida; Rhabditidae
Description: crm-miR-48-3p
Gene: crm-miR-48-3p
Source: miRBase by way of RNAcentral